RNAcentral lists this long non-coding RNA (4843 nucleotides) under Xyrichtys novacula (pearly razorfish). Lineage: Eukaryota; Metazoa; Chordata; Actinopteri; Labriformes; Labridae. The record is from RNAcentral.
AGGAAGACAACACAGCACAACAGGAAGCGGAGCCUCUAACCGUUCACCUCAGGCAGUGGUCAGAGGAGAAGAGUUUAUACAGUUUGAGUCAGUCUGAGAAGGAGGACACCACCUGAGCUCUGCCCCGCAAUGAGCCUCUGAGAGCGGCACCACCCGGUCUGGACGGCCGCGGGAGGAGGACGGUGCAGGUACCAGGUAUGUGUCUUUAUGCCUACGUUUUAAAACUGAGGGUCAAGAGAUAAAACACUGAGUGACUGUCAGUUUGCUCUUCAGUGGUCACCCAUUUGGACAGAAAUGGCUACUUUUUGUUAAAGUUUGUACACUUUAUUUACGUUUUAUUUACCUUUACAGAGUGAAACAUGAGUUCACUUGUUUUCAGCUGGUUGUAGUAAUGGUUGUUGUCGUGGGCAGACUUGUUUAUUGCAGUGUGUCCUCUACAUUCCCUGCUCAGGUCAGGAUCAGGUCAUGAGGGCAUACCUGGGAACAGCUCACCUGUAGAAGAUUAACCACACACUGUUUAAAGAUCCUGGUCUGGUUAUUUGAGUUUUAUUUUGAAAUAGUAAAACCAAACUUGAAAUACAGCUUAAUUUUCUUUUUUGUUGUCUGGAACAAGUAAGGAAAAGUCACAUAGGCCUAACGGUUUAAUUUUCAAUUUUCAUUUCUAAAAAGGAAAUAGAUAUCAAGCUGUGUUUCAAGUUUGUUUCUUUCCAAACGUUAUAUCCAACUACAAAAAGAGACACAGACCUCUGAUCCCAAUUUAUACGGCCACAGUUUCUCAUCAGUUUUUUUUUAGACUUUUGUCUGCAGCUGAAUAAAUCAGUGAUGUUUUUUAAUCAUGUCUAAAAGACUCCUGACUGAAUGAGUCUGCAGGGUGCAUCACCUCCACCCUGGACUGCAGCUCUAGAGACGCUCAUUUCUACACCAACAUCCUCCUUUUCACAUUUUUCACCACAGAGUAAGUUUCUCUAAGCAGCUUAUGUCACAGACUGCCGCAAAAACCAAAUCCAUUCAGGUUGUGGGUGAAAAAGCUCUGAUGGAUUCAGCUGAGUUUCAGGACAUGAAGGUUCAGGGCCGGCUGGUGGAUUUUGGUGGCCCUAAGCAAGAUUUUGUUUGGUUGCCCCCCAAUACCCCCCCCCCCCCCCAUUAUUGGUUGUGGUCCUCCAUUUUGUUGCAUUUUAAACAGAUGAUGACUUCAUGAUGGGAUAUCGUGAGCUUCUAGAUCGUCUAGAGUCUAGACAAGAGGUGGGCAACUUUGAUGAUGGGGAGUUCCACCAUAUUUCCACACUCAUUCCAGGAGGCCAUAUUACAUAGACUGUCGGUCCAUUUGAUGUCACAGAAAAGUUGCAAAAAUAGCCGAUCUACAAGCUCCCUGGGCAGUCAGUUGUAUGGUCUAGAUCAGUGGUUCUCAAGUCCAGUCCUCGAGCCUCCACUGUCCUGCAUGUUUUGUAUGUUUCCCUGCUCCAACACACCUGAUUCGAAUGAUAAGCUCGUUAUCAAGCUCUGUAAUGGCUUACUAACGAGCUGAUCAUUCGAAUCAGGUGUGUUGGAGCAGGGAAACAUCCAAAACAUGCCGGACAGUGGGCCUUGAGGACUGGACUUGAGAACCACUGGGCUAGAACUAGCUAGCUAGUUAUUUUUGUCUUCCUUUUGGGGGGUGAUGUGGCCCCUCCCAUUGGUUGUGGCCCUAAGCGACCGCUUAUAUUGCUUAUUGCACGGGCCGGCCUUGUGAAGGUUUCCUGAAAACUGAUGCCUCACUUGCAGAAAAAAUGCGUCAGGUCUAAAGGUUUAAAAUCUUGAAGUAUCUGUUAGUGUUUAUGCUUUAUGACAGUAAAUGAAAACACUCAGAGCUAUUAUGACUGAUAAAAUGAUCCAAAGAUGACUGUACAUUGGACACUUGGCUCUCUCACCAGGAAAUCAGCUAACCCUCUGACUUUUAUUGCAGAUUGUUCUAGUAAAAAAAACUUUGCUAGAUUUUUUUUUGUUUAGGUCAUUAAAUGUUUCUGGACCCGGUCAGUCCUAUGCUGAAAAUAUUGACCCAGUUUUUUUAUAUUUUAAAAAUAAAGUUGCAGACCAACCCACCUGUAUGUUUUUGCUCUUUUAUGAAGUUUUUGUCUUUUGAGCGUCUCUCUGCAAACAAAGGGAGUUCUUUUCAGGGUACAUACCUCCCAUCUGUGCUGCAGUUUGAGGAAAUCAGGUGAUUGAAUAACGAAUGUGGUUUUUAUGAAACUGAAGCUGAUGUUCUGCAAUUUCCUGUGCAAAACUAUUCUCUGAAUAAUCUCUUUACAGGUCCCUCUGGUGUCAUGAUCACAGUACAGAAACAGAGAUGUGUGUUUCCUCUGCAGGUGAAGGGGUGUGAGCUGACUUAGCAUGAAUCAGUGUGAGGUUAAAGAAGAGGGGGUCCUUGCCUCUAAAACAGCUCUGUGUAUGGAUCCUGAACCAGAGCCAGAACCAGAGCCAGAACCCAGCUGUCUGUCCUGUAGGAGUGACAAUUCAAAGGACCACUUUUACGACUUUAAACAGCAAGAUUUAUGCAGUAAAAACAGAAAUAAAAGGCAAGAGAAGUAUGUUUUAUUACACAUCCAUAUCUUCCAGAUUAAUCUCACUCAUAUUGAAAUAUUUCAGGACUUUUUGAUGAUUACGGCUCACAGCUCAUGAAAAUCAAAAAUCCUCUAUCAGAACUGGACAUCUACAAAAUAAUCGGAUGUUUUUAAAUGAUAGACUUUUGAUCUUUGUGCGCUGUGAACCGUAUUCAUUAGAAUUUAAACACAAAGUCAACCCUUUGUUUAAUGAAUCUGAAUCUUUCAGGACAUUGUAACUUUUUGAGCUGCACCAUAGGAGAAGUGUUCAUAUUACCCGGUUAAUUGUUAAUUCAUGGUCACACUGGUCUUCCUCUUUGUUGAACAGGGUUAAUAUGAGACCAGACUCUGCUGAAACUGGACCCAGCUGUGUGUCCCUACAGAGUAACAAGUCAAAGGACCACUUCACUGACUUCAAGAAACAACAUAUAUGGAGUGAAAACAAAAUCAGAAGAAAAACAAAGUGAGACAGUUAACUUCAGAAUAUGCUUCAAUGUUUAUAUUACAAAACCCAAGUCCAUUGAAGUUGGGAAGUUGUGAUAAACGUAAAUGAAAACAGAAUACAAUAAUUUGUAAAUCCUUUUCAACCUUUAUUGAACUGAAUACACUACAAAGACAAGAUAUUUAAUGUUCAAACUCAUAAACUUUAUUUUAUUUUUAUCUUUUGGAAAUAAUAACUUUGAAUUUGGUAACUGCAACACGUGACAAAGUAGUUGGGACAGGGGCAUGUCUACCACUGUGUUACAUCACCUUUCCUUUUAACAACACUCAAUAAAUGUUUAUGAACUGAGGAGACUAAUUGUUGAAGCUUUGAAGGUGGAAUUCUUUCCCAUUCUUGCUUGAUAUACAGCUUCAGUUGUUCAACAGUCCGGGGUCUCCGUUGUCGUAUUUUACGCUUCAUAAUGUGCCACACAUUUUCAAUGGGAGACAGGUCUGGACUGCAGGCAGGCCAGUCGAGUACCUGCACUCUUUUACUACGAAGCCACGCUGUUGUAACACGUGCAGAAUGUGGCUUGGCAUUGUCUUGCUGAAAUAAACAGGAAGGGCGUCCAUGAAAAAGACGUUGCUUGGAUGGCAGCAUAUGUUGCUCCAAAACCUGUAUGUACCUUUCAGCAUUAAUGUUGCCUUCACAGAUGUGUAAGUUACCCAUGCCUUGGGCACUAAUUCACCCCCAUACCAUCACAGAUGCUGGCUUUUGAACUUUGCAUUGAUAACAGUCCUGACGGUUCUUUUCCUCUUUGGCCUGGAGGACACGACGUCCACUAUUUCCAAAAACAAUUUGAAAUGUGGACUCGUCAGACCACAGAACACUUUUCCACUUUGCAUCAGUCCAUCCUAGAUGAGCUCGGGCCCAGAGAAGCCGGCAGCAUUUCUGGAUGUUGUUGAUAAAUGGCUUUCACUUUUCAUAGUAGAGUUUUAACUUGCACUUACAGAUGCAGCGACGAACUGUAUUUACUGACAGUGGUUUUCUGAAGUGUUCCUGAGCCCAUGUGGUGAUAUCCUUUACACAUCGAUGUCAGUUUUUGAUACAGUACUGCCUGAGGGAUCGAAGGACACGGGCAUUCAAUGUUGGUUUCCGGCUGUUCCGCUUACAUGCAGUGAUUUCUCCAGAUUCUCUGAACCUUUUUAUGAUAUUAUGGACCGUAGAUGUUGAAAUCCCUAAAUUCCUUGCAAUUGUACUUUAAGAGACGUUGUUCUUCAGCUGUUCGACUAUUUGCUCACGCAGUUGUUCACAAAGUGGUGAACCUCGCCCCAUCCUUGCUUGUGAAUGACUGAGAAUUUUGGGGGAAGCUGCUUUUAUACCCAAUCAUGGCACCCACCUGUUCCUAAUUAGCCUGCUCACCUGUGGGAUGUUCCAAAUAGGUGUUUGAUGAGCAUUCCUCAAAUUUCUCAGUAUUUUUUGCCACCUUUCCCAACUUCUUUGUCACGUGUUGCUGCCACGAAAUUCUGAGUUGAUUAUUAUUUGCAAAAAACAAUAAAGUUUAUGAGUUUGAACAUUAAAUAUCUUGUCUUUGUAGUGUAUUCAAUUAAAUAUAGGUUGAAAAGGAUUUGAAAAUCAUUGUAUUCUGUUUUUAUUUACGUUUAUCACAAUUUUCCAACUUCAAUGGAAUUGGGUUUUGUAUACAGUGAAUUUCCAUCAUACUGUGUCUCUCUCCAACAGGAGACCAGACUCUGCUGAAGCUCAACCCUGCUGUGUUUCCUGCAGGAGUUCACAGUCCAUGAGCAGUGCUCUGCUGUUUAAAGGACAAUGUUGCUCAAAAACUGGG